Molecule: ribosomal RNA, 274 nt
Filed under: uncultured bacterium
Lineage: Bacteria
Description: partial 16S ribosomal RNA
Rfam family: Bacterial small subunit ribosomal RNA
Source: RNAcentral
AUACGGAGGGUGCAAGCGUUGUUCGGAAUUAUUGGGCGUAAAGAGCAUGUAGGCGGUUCGUUAAGUCUGAUGUGAAAGCCCGGGGCUCAACCCCGGAAGUGCAUUGGAUACUGGCGAACUUGAGUACGGGAGAGGAAAGUGGAAUUUCGAGUGUAGGGGUGAAAUCCGUAGAUAUUCGAAGGAACACCAGUGGCGAAGGCGGCUUUCUGGACCGAUACUGACGCUGAGAUGCGAAAGCGUGGGGAGCAAACAGGAUUAGAAACCCCAGUAGUCC